AACAAAUAAGAAGGGGUGCUGCGGUAUAUCUUGUGCACUGGACUCAGGAAGCUGAAUCUGAGUGUUUUCACCAUGACUCUGGCUCCACUACUCCUUGUCCUCCUUUAUUACUUAACAGGGUCAUGGGGCCAGUUUCAACUGACUCAGCCAAACUCUGUGUCAGGGUCUCUAGGAAGCACAGUCAGCCUCUCCUGCAAGCGCAGCAGUGGAAACAUUGGAAGCAGCUAUGUGCAAUGGUACCAGCAGCACGAGGGAAGAUCUCCCACUACUGUGAUAUAUGGUGAUGAUCAGCGACCAUCUGGGAUUCCUGAUCGGUUCUCAGGCUCUAUUGACAGAUCCUCUAACUCAGCUACUCUGACCAUCGGGAAUCUGCAGACUGAGGAUGAGGCUGACUACUUUUGUCAGUCCUCUGGUGGUGGCAAUAUUCACAGUGAUACAAAACAUAGAGGAACUGUACCUGCGGUAGUUAGAUCCACAGGUACAGAUGCAAAAGUGCAGAUUUGGGCCUACCAGGUCAAAUGCAUGUUUAGGAAGGAGCUCCAUCAGCUCAGUGGUGCUACAGCUGCAGAACCUGUAGGCUGGUAUAACAGCCAGCGGGAAAUACAGCCAUAG
Molecule: non-coding RNA, 612 nt
Organism: Meriones unguiculatus (Mongolian gerbil)
Lineage: Eukaryota; Metazoa; Chordata; Mammalia; Rodentia; Muridae
Source: the annotation of a RefSeq genome assembly